CAGGUGAGCAUUUCGGUGAGAGGUGCUCAGAUAGGACCAGGGUCAGUAGAAGAUGAAGAAGACAGAGGUUCAUGAGAAGGAACGCACUUGCCAAUGAGGAAGUGAGGUGCUUAUUGCAGCCGUCCAAAGGUCUGAACAAGUCCUCAACAAGUAAGACCACUGGACAGUGGCUCCCAACUGCUGUUUACCGGGUGAUUGGAUGCGUCACCGAUCAAAGACAUCGGAAUCAUGUUGGACAUCGCCCGCAUCCAUGCCAAGAUUGUCUUGCUUGUUGAAUUUUGUCUUGCGGGGUUGACAAUUGAUAUGAAAUGUUAUCUUUGCCUUGGAUAAUAAUACUCUGCAUAAAACGUGUAUCGAAUUAAUUUUUGCACGCAGAAAGAAUUUUUUAACGAAACUU
Molecule: long non-coding RNA, 397 nt
Organism: Lingula anatina
Lineage: Eukaryota; Metazoa; Brachiopoda; Lingulata; Lingulida; Lingulidae
Source: RefSeq, a predicted model, not a curated record